UAUGGUGUGUGCCAGCAGCCGCGGUAAUACGUAGGGGGCAAGCGUUAUCCGGAUUUACUGGGUGUAAAGGGAGCGUAGACGGCAUGGCAAGCCAGAUGUGAAAGCCCGGGGCUCAACCCCGGGACUGCAUUUGGAACUGUCAGGCUAGAGUGUCGGAGAGGAAAGCGGAAUUCCUAGUGUAGCGGUGAAAUGCGUAGAUAUUAGGAGGAACACCAGUGGCGAAGGCGGCUUUCUGGACGAUGACUGACGUUGAGGCUCGAAAGCGUGGGGAGCAAACAGG
RNAcentral lists this ribosomal RNA (280 nucleotides) under Mediterraneibacter gnavus ATCC 29149. RNAcentral describes it as "[Ruminococcus] gnavus ATCC 29149 partial 16S ribosomal RNA". It matches the Rfam family "Bacterial small subunit ribosomal RNA", at positions 497 to 776 of the family's 1533-position model. The record is from RNAcentral. Lineage: Bacteria; Bacillati; Bacillota; Clostridia; Lachnospirales; Lachnospiraceae.